Long non-coding RNA from Aplysia californica (California sea hare), 523 nucleotides. RefSeq lists it as uncharacterized. NCBI's taxonomy places the organism in Eukaryota, Metazoa, Mollusca, Gastropoda, Aplysiida, Aplysiidae. The record is from RefSeq and is a predicted model, not a curated record. The transcript is spliced from 3 exons.
UUUUUAUAUUUCUGUUUAUUCAUUUUUUCUUGUGUUCGUUACGGAUAUUUGGAGGUUUGAACUACAGAUAUCAUAAUUAUUUAUUUUACAUUAUAUCUUAUAUAUUAUGAAGCUAUAACCAGGUACUUUCUCUCCCUCCCCCUCCGUGCCACGACAGAUCCAACUCGCUGCUUGAGAGAGUGAGGGCCAAGGAGAGACAGGUCCGCAACACGGGCAAGUUUGUCUACUCUCUGGCACGACUCAUCUCCAGGAAAGAUUCGCUCACAAGUGCCUCUGAGCCCGCGUCCCGGAUCUCCCGUGGUCAGAGUCUGGGGGUCCGUGUGCUCCUCAAGAGACAACAGCUGCUGGGCGGCUCCAGGAUGGCCACUCUCAGCUCUCUGCUGGCCGCCAAGAAACGGCACUCGCUCAUUGACCAUUACAUCCUGCGGUUUGACGCCAAGAUGGUGUGGCGGAAGCUGAGACUGUGGGUGAGGAUCCGGAGCAUGCUGGGACGGAUACAUCAGGAGGUCAUUGACCGAGUCGU